GGAAGCGUGCCCGAAAACCACAAGGACUACUUUGAUAGAGUAAACCAUGGAGGAACAACCUCCCACUUCCC
RNAcentral lists this transfer RNA (71 nucleotides) under Sphaerodactylus elegans. RNAcentral's name for it is "tRNA-Ile". The record is from RNAcentral. Lineage: Eukaryota; Metazoa; Chordata; Lepidosauria; Squamata; Sphaerodactylidae.